UGGGGAAUUUUGGACAAUGGGCGCAAGCCUGAUCCAGCCAUGCCGCGUGCGGGAAGAAGGCCUUCGGGUUGUAAACCGCUUUUGUCAGGGAAGAAAUCUUCUGAGUUAAUACCUCGGGAGGAUGACGGUACCUGAAGAAUAAGCACCGGCUAACUACGUGCCAGCAGCCGCGGUAAUACGUAGGGUGCAAGCGUUAAUCGGAAUUACUGGGCGUAAAGCGUGCGCAGGCGGUUUUGUAAGACAGAGGUGAAAUCCCCGGGCUCGACCUGGGAACUGCCUUUGUGACUGCAAGGCUUGAGUGCGGCAGAGGGGGGAUGGAAUUCCGCGUGUAGCAGUGAAAUGCGUAGAUAUGCGGAGGAACACUGAUGGCGAAGGCAAUGCCCUGGGCCUGCACUCGACGCUCAUGCACGAAAGCGUGGGGGAGCAAACAGGAUUAGAUACCCUGGUAGUCCACGCCCUAAACGAUGUCGACUGGUUGUUGGGAAGGUUCCUUCUCAGUAACGUAGCUAACGCGUGAAGUUGACCGCCUGGGGAGUACGGCCGCAAGGUUGAAACUUAAAUGAAUUGAC
This 569-nucleotide ribosomal RNA is filed under the name uncultured bacterium. RNAcentral's name for it is "partial 16S ribosomal RNA". It matches the Rfam family "Bacterial small subunit ribosomal RNA", at positions 355 to 914 of the family's 1533-position model. The record is from RNAcentral.